CACUGUCCUCUGCUGGACCUUAAUCUCUGGCUUGACUCAGAGUCUGUGAAGGAAUGAAUGGUUGCUGGUAUAGAAUUGGGAAAUCAGUGCUUCUCGUUCUCAGCUGAAGAGAAAUGUGAAGUAGUACUGUCAACCCAGAAGACAGUUGAGUCAUAAAGGUCUGAUUAAAGAGUGGGAAGGCAGUAGGUCCAACAUUGAAGAAGAUGCAGUCUCUCGACUACUUAUUGUCCUCCUCGUCUCAGCAAUAUAAACUCCAAGGAAAGGUGAGAUGAUGUGACUAUACAUAGGCAUCAUAUGUUAUCUGCACUGAUUGAUGAAAGUCAGAAGGAGAAGUGAUCCCUUGGUUUUCAGGGGUUAAGUCUAUUUUCACACACUAGCAGGGCAUAAUAUUUCCAUUAAUACACA
Molecule: long non-coding RNA, 405 nt
Organism: Canis lupus familiaris (dog)
Lineage: Eukaryota; Metazoa; Chordata; Mammalia; Carnivora; Canidae
Exons: 3
Source: RefSeq, a predicted model, not a curated record